This 258-nucleotide unclassified non-coding RNA is filed under the name uncultured fungus. RNAcentral describes it as "partial contains small subunit ribosomal RNA, internal transcribed spacer 1, and 5.8S ribosomal RNA". The stretch from base 1 to 73 matches the Rfam family "Eukaryotic small subunit ribosomal RNA", at positions 1759 to 1831 of the family's 1831-position model. Lineage: Eukaryota; Fungi. The record is from RNAcentral.
GCAAACUUGGUCAUUUAGAGGAAGUAAAAGUCGUAACAAGGUUUCCGUAGGUGAACCUGCGGAAGGAUCAUUAACAAAUAAUCAUCAACUUUGAUGAACCAUUUGUGCAAAUGUAUUUGUUGAAAGAGUUUGGGAAACCAUCUCUUUUAAUUUUUUUAUCCACACCUUUAAACAAAUAUAUAAACAAAAUAUUUUAAAAAAUAAAAUACAACUUUCAACAAUGGAUCUCUUGGCUCUCGCAUCGAUGAAGAACGCAGC